RNAcentral lists this ribosomal RNA (253 nucleotides) under uncultured bacterium. RNAcentral's name for it is "partial 16S ribosomal RNA". It matches the Rfam family "Bacterial small subunit ribosomal RNA", at positions 524 to 776 of the family's 1533-position model. The record is from RNAcentral.
UACGAAGGGGGCUAGCGUUGCUCGGAAUCACUGGGCGUAAAGCGCACGUAGGCGGAUCGUUAAGUCAGGGGUGAAAUCCUGGAGCUCAACUCCAGAACUGCCCUUGAUACUGGCGACCUUGAGUUCGGGAGAGGUGAGUGGAACUGCGAGUGUAGAGGUGAAAUUCGUAGAUAUUCGCAAGAACACCAGUGGCGAAGGCGGCUCACUGGCCCGAUACUGACGCUGAGGUGCGAAAGCGUGGGGAGCAAACAGG